AGUGAACGCUGGCGGUAGGCCUAACACAUGCAAGUCGAACGGCAGCACAGUAAGAGCUUGCUCUUACGGGUGGCGAGUGGCGGACGGGUGAGGAAUACAUCGGAAUCUACUUUUUCGUGGGGGAUAAUGUAGGGAAACUUACGCUAAUACCGCAUACGACCUACGGGUGAAAGCAGGGGAUCUUCGUACCUUGCGCGAUUGGAUGAGCCGAUGUCGGAUUUGCUAGUUGGCGGGGUAAAGGCCCACCAAGGCGACGAUCCGUAGCUGGUCUGAGAGGAUGAUCAGCCACACUGGAACUGAGACACGGUCCAGACUCCUACGGGAGGCGGCAGUGGGGAAUAUUGGACACUGGGCGCAAGCCUGAUCCAGCCAUACCGCGUGGGUGAAGAAGGCCUUCGGGUUGUAAAGCCCUUUUGUUGGGAAAGAAAAGCAGCAGGUUAAUACCCCGCUGUUCUGACGGUACCCAAAGAAUAAGCACCGGCUAACUUCGUG
RNAcentral lists this ribosomal RNA (492 nucleotides) under uncultured bacterium. RNAcentral describes it as "partial 16S ribosomal RNA". It matches the Rfam family "Bacterial small subunit ribosomal RNA", at positions 29 to 507 of the family's 1533-position model. The record is from RNAcentral.